This 87-nucleotide transfer RNA is filed under the name Magnusiomyces ingens. RNAcentral describes it as "tRNA-Ser". It matches the Rfam family "tRNA". Rfam says of the family: Transfer RNA (tRNA) molecules are approximately 80 nucleotides in length. RNAcentral also lists the same sequence under 1 other name. The record is from RNAcentral. Lineage: Eukaryota; Fungi; Ascomycota; Dipodascomycetes; Dipodascales; Dipodascaceae.
GGAUAUGUGUCUGAGUGGUUUAAAGUGUAACCUUUGAGUCGUUAUGUAUUUUUAUAAAUACCGUAAGUUCGAAUCUUACCAUAUCCG